UUUCGAAAAUGAAUCAAAACUUUCAACAACGGAUCUCUUGGUUCUGGCAUCGAUGAAGAACGCAGCGAAAUGCGAUAAGUAAUGUGAAUUGCAGAAUUCAGUGAAUCAUCGAAUCUUUGAACGCACAUUGCGCCCGCCAGUAUUCUGGCGGGCAUGCC
RNAcentral lists this ribosomal RNA (158 nucleotides) under Trichoderma harzianum. Its description in RNAcentral is "5.8S ribosomal RNA". The stretch from base 18 to 158 matches the Rfam family "5.8S ribosomal RNA". Rfam says of the family: 5.8S ribosomal RNA (5.8S rRNA) is a component of the large subunit of the eukaryotic ribosome. It is transcribed by RNA polymerase I as part of the 45S precursor that also contains 18S and 28S rRNA. Lineage: Eukaryota; Fungi; Ascomycota; Sordariomycetes; Hypocreales; Hypocreaceae. The record is from RNAcentral.